CCUACGGGCGGCUGCAGUGAGGAAUAUUGGUCAAUGGACGAGAGUCUGAACCAGCCAAGUAGCGUGAAGGAUGACUGCCCUAUGGGUUGUAAACUUCUUUUAUAUGGGAAUAAAAUGUUCCACGUGUGGGAUUUUGUAUGUACCAUAUGAAUAAGGAUCGGCUAACUCCGUGCCAGCAGCCGCGGUAAUACGGAGGAUCCGAGCGUUAUCCGGAUUUAUUGGGUUUAAAGGGAGCGUAGGUGGAUUGUUAAGUCAGUUGUGAAAGUUUGCGGCUCAACCGUAAAAUUGCAGUUGAAACUGGCAGUCUUGAGUACAGUAGAGGUGGGCGGAAGUCGUGGUGUAGCGGUGAAAUGCUUAGAUAUCACGAAGAACGCCGAUUGCGAAGGCAGUUCACUGGACUGCAACUGACACGGAGGCUCGAAAGUGUGGGUAUCAAACAGGAUUAGAUACCCUGGUAGUC
Molecule: ribosomal RNA, 460 nt
Filed under: uncultured bacterium
Lineage: Bacteria
Description: partial 16S ribosomal RNA
Rfam family: Bacterial small subunit ribosomal RNA
Source: RNAcentral